UAGUCCACGCCGUAAACGAUGAGAACUAGCUGUUGGGAGCCUUGAGCUCUUAGUGGCGCAGCUAACGCAAUAAGUUCUCCGCCUGGGGAGUACGGUCGCAAGAUUAAAACUCAAAGGAAUUGACGGGGGGCCCGCACAAGCGGUGGAGCAUGUGGUUUAAUUCGAUGCAACGCGAAGAACCUUACCUACCCUUGACAUCCUCGGAACUUUCCAGAGAUGGAUUGGUGCCUUCGGGAACCGAGUGACAGGUGCUGCAUGGCUGUCGUCAGCUCGUGUCGUGAGAUGUUGGGUUAAGUCCCGUAACGAGCGCAACCCUUAUCUCUAGUUGCCAGCAUGUAAUGAUGGGGACUCUAGAGAGACUGCCGGUGAUAAACCGGGAGGAAAGGCGGGGACGAUGUCAAGGUCAUCAUGGCCUUUANGGGGUAGGGGCUACACACGUGCUACAAUGGC
RNAcentral lists this ribosomal RNA (450 nucleotides) under uncultured bacterium. Its description in RNAcentral is "bacterial SSU rRNA". It matches the Rfam family "Bacterial small subunit ribosomal RNA", at positions 791 to 1234 of the family's 1533-position model. The record is from RNAcentral.